RNAcentral lists this ribosomal RNA (435 nucleotides) under uncultured bacterium. Its description in RNAcentral is "partial 16S ribosomal RNA". It matches the Rfam family "Bacterial small subunit ribosomal RNA", at positions 29 to 507 of the family's 1533-position model. The record is from RNAcentral.
AGCGAACGCUGGCGGCAGGCUUAACACAUGCAAGUCGAACGGGCAUAGCAAUAUGUCAGUGGCAGACGGGUGCGUAACGCGUGGGAACGUACCUUUUGGUUCCGAACAACACAGGGAAACUUGUGCUAAUACCGGAUAAGCCCUUACGGGGAAAGAUUUAUCGCCGAAAGAUCGGCCCGCGUCUGAUUAGCUAGUUGGUAGGGUAAUGGCCUACCAAGGCGACGAUCAGUAGCUGGUCUGAGAGGAUGAUCAGCCACAUUGAGACUGAGACACGGCCCAAACUCCUGCGGGAGGCAGCAGUGGGGAAUAUUGGACAAUGGGCGAAAGCCUGAUCCAGCCAUGCCGCGUGAGUGAUGAAGGCCCUAGGGUUGUAAAGCUCUUUUGAGCGGGAAGAUAAUGACGGUACCGAAAGAAUAAGCCCCGGCUAACUUCGUG